RNAcentral lists this long non-coding RNA (435 nucleotides) under Gallus gallus (chicken). The record is from RNAcentral. Lineage: Eukaryota; Metazoa; Chordata; Aves; Galliformes; Phasianidae.
GUUUGAUUCUGAAAAGGACGACUCAACUUCUUUACAGCAACGUUUAUCCCAAGGACUGUAUCGAAUGCAGCACAAACAAUGCCCUGUGCCCCUGAUCCUAUGGGCUUCAAUUGCUGGUAGCGUUUUAGUACAGUGAAUGUUGAAUCUGCAACUUGAACACUGUAAAACUGACUAUCGCAUUUACUGUCACUCAUGGUGUAGUGUCAUGUAGUUUUCUCUCUCAAGGACCUGGUACAGGCUUCAAGAUCGUCUCCUCACUCGGUCAGGCUCCAGCGGGACGGGGCGCGGCGCUCGCGAGCCGCGCAGCCACCUCCGCGGCCGCCUCCACCUCCUCCGGCGCGCAGGACCGCCCCAGCCACAAUGGCCUCCCGGUGCUCCGCGCAGGCCGCGCCAGGCCUGAGCGCGUUGACGGGCGGCCGCUCGGACCAAUCGCGA